This 718-nucleotide ribosomal RNA is filed under the name uncultured bacterium. Its description in RNAcentral is "bacterial SSU rRNA". It matches the Rfam family "Bacterial small subunit ribosomal RNA", at positions 635 to 1347 of the family's 1533-position model. The record is from RNAcentral.
GCCUUGCAUGAGGACUGGAGAGGAGACUGGAAUUCACGGUGUAGCAGUGAAAUGCGUAGAGAUCGUGAGGAACACCAGUGGCGAAGGCGGGUCUCUGGACAGUUCCUGACACUGAGGCACGAAGGCCAGGGGAGCAAACGGGAUUAGAUACCCCGGUAGUCCUGGCAGUAAACGGUGCACGUUUGGUGUGGGGGGAUUCGACCCCUUCCGCGCCGGAGCUAACGCGUUAUACGUGCCGCCUGGGGAGUACGGUCGCAAGAUUAAAACUCAAAGAAAUUGACGGGGGCCCGCACAAGCGGUGGAGUAUGUGGCUAAAUUCGAUGCAACGCGAAGAACCUUACCAGGCCUUGACAUGCAUUUCUAAGUUGGUGAAAGCCAGCGAAUGUCGAAAGACAUAACUUGCACAGGUGCUGCAUGGCUGUCGUCAGCUCGUGUCGUGAGAUGUUGGGUCAAGUCCCGCAACGAGCGCAACCCCUGUGAACUGUUGCCACUCUCUAUAUUGGGAAGCACUCUGUUCAGACUGCCCACAGAGACGGGGAGGAAGGUGGGGACGACGUCAAGUCAGUAUGGCCCUUACGGCCUGGGCUGCACACGUACUACAAUGCUCAGCACAGAACGAUCCGAGACCGCGAGGUGGACGAAAUCUAGUAAACUGAGCUCAGUUCGGAUUGGAGGCUGCAACUCGCCUCCAUGAAGCUGGAAUCGCUAGUAAUGCCGU